GCCGAGGUAGCUUAGCGGACUAAAGCGCCGGCCUUGAGAGCCGGUGUCUCUUACGAGACUCAGGGGUUCAAAUCCCUUCCUCGGCG
Molecule: transfer RNA, 86 nt
Filed under: Candidatus Methanophagales archaeon
Lineage: Archaea; Methanobacteriati; Methanobacteriota; Methanomicrobia; Candidatus Methanophagales
Description: tRNA-Ser
Rfam family: tRNA
About the family: Transfer RNA (tRNA) molecules are approximately 80 nucleotides in length. Their secondary structure includes four short double-helical elements and three loops (D, anti-codon, and T loops). Further hydrogen bonds mediate the characteristic L-shaped molecular structure. tRNAs have two regions of fundamental functional importance: the anti-codon, which is responsible for specific mRNA codon recognition, and the 3' end, to which the tRNAs corresponding amino acid is attached (by aminoacyl-tRNA synthetases). tRNAs cope with the degeneracy of the genetic code in two manners: having more than one tRNA (with a specific anti-codon) for a particular amino acid; and 'wobble' base-pairing, i.e. permitting non-standard base-pairing at the 3rd anti-codon position.
Source: RNAcentral